RNAcentral lists this unclassified non-coding RNA (280 nucleotides) under Pseudeurotium sp. Its description in RNAcentral is "partial contains 5.8S ribosomal RNA, internal transcribed spacer 2, and large subunit ribosomal RNA". The stretch from base 1 to 71 matches the Rfam family "5.8S ribosomal RNA", at positions 84 to 154 of the family's 154-position model. Lineage: Eukaryota; Fungi; Ascomycota; Leotiomycetes; Thelebolales; Pseudeurotiaceae. The record is from RNAcentral.
GUGAGUCAUCGAAUCUUUGAACGCACAUUGCGCCCCCUGGUAUUCCGGGGGGCAUGCCUGUUCGAGCGUCAUUACAACCCUCAAGCUCUGCUUGGUAUUGGGCUCUGCCGGUCCCGGCAGGCCUUAAAAUCAGUGGCGGUGCCAUUCGGCUUCAAGCGUAGUAAUUCUUCUCGCUUUGGAGGCCCGGGUGUGUGCUUGCCAGCAACCCCCAAUUUUUUCAGGUUGACCUCGGAUCAGGUAGGGAUACCCGCUGAACUUAAGCAUAUCAAUAAGCGGAGGA